GACGAACGCUGGCGGCGUGCUUAACACAUGCAAGUCGAACGGAAAGGCCCUGCUUUUGUGGGGUGCUCGAGUGGCGAACGGGUGAGUAACACGUGAGUAACCUGCCCUUGACUUUGGGAUAACUUCAGGAAACUGGGGCUAAUACCGGAUAGGAGCUCCUGCUGCAUGGUGGGGGUUGGAAAGUUUCGGCGGUUGGGGAUGGACUCGCGGCUUAUCAGCUUGUUGGUGGGGUAGUGGCUUACCAAGGCUUUGACGGGUAGCCGGCCUGAGAGGGUGACCGGCGACAAUGGGACUGAGAUACGGCCCAGACUCCUACGGGGGGCAGCAGUGGGGAAUAUUGCACAAUGGGCGGAAGCCUGAUGCAGCAACGCCGCGGGCGGGAUGACGGCCUUCGGGUUGUAAACCGCUUUCGCCUGUGACGAAGCGUGAGUGACGGUAAUGGGUAAAGAAGCACCGGCUAACUACGUG
This 468-nucleotide ribosomal RNA is filed under the name uncultured bacterium. Its description in RNAcentral is "partial 16S ribosomal RNA". It matches the Rfam family "Bacterial small subunit ribosomal RNA", at positions 28 to 507 of the family's 1533-position model. The record is from RNAcentral.